RNAcentral lists this ribosomal RNA (476 nucleotides) under uncultured bacterium. RNAcentral's name for it is "SSU rRNA". It matches the Rfam family "Bacterial small subunit ribosomal RNA", at positions 26 to 518 of the family's 1533-position model. The record is from RNAcentral.
AGGACGAACGCUGGCGGCGUGCUUAACACAUGCAAGUCGAGCGGAAAGGCCCUUCGGGGUACUCGAGCGGCGAACGGGUGAGUAACACGUGGGCAACCUGCCCUUGGCUCUGGGAUAGCUCCGGGAAACCGGAAUUAAUACCGGAUAUGACCUAGGCCGACAUCGGCCGUGGUGGAAAGUUUUUCGGCUAGGGAUGGACUCGCGGCCUAUCAGCUAGUUGGUGGGGUAAUGGCCUACCAAGGCGACGACGGGUAGCCGGCCUGAGAGGGCGACCGGCCACACUGGGACUGAGACACGGCCCAGACUCCUACGGGAGGCAGCAGUGGGGAAUCUUGCGCAAUGGGCGAAAGCCUGACGCAGCGACGCCGCGUGGGGGAUGAAGGCCUUCGGGUUGUAAACCCCGUUUCAGCAGGGACGAAGCGAAAGUGACGGUACCUGCAGAAGAAGCGCCGGCUAACGUACGCGCCAGCAGCCGC